Molecule: ribosomal RNA, 1435 nt
Filed under: Microbacterium sp.
Lineage: Bacteria; Bacillati; Actinomycetota; Actinomycetes; Micrococcales; Microbacteriaceae
Description: bacterial SSU rRNA
Rfam family: Bacterial small subunit ribosomal RNA
Source: RNAcentral
UAUUAAUUAGAGGCCCGGAUUGAAACGAACCUGCGUCUCUGUGAUUCAUCAGUGGCAAAGGUGUGUGUAGCACAUGAGCCACCUGCCCCUUUGACUCUACGAUGGGAUUCCCUAGAGACCGCCUUCUGGAACACUGAAUAUCUAACGUGACCGCCAGGUCAGCUUCUGGCCUUACUCUCUGUUGUGGGAUGGGCUCGCGGCCUAUCAUCUUGUUGGUGAUGUAAUGGCUCAGCAAGGCGUCGAAGUGAUCCGGCCUGAUAAGCUGACCGGCUGCACUGGAACUGAGACCCAGACCCCACUCCUACGGGACGCUGCAGUGGGUAAUAUUGCGCAAUGGGCCCAAGCCUGAUGCUGCACCCCCGCGUGAGGGACACUGCCUUCGGGUUGUACUCCUCUUUUAGAGGAAAGAUGCUAAAGUGACCGUCCUGCUUAGACGCUCCGGCUAACUACGUGCCAGCAGCCGCCUUAAUACGUAGGCCCCAUGCUUUAUCCGGAGUUAUCGUUCGUCAAAAUCUCUGAGGCUGUUUGUCGCGUCUGCUGUUAGAUCCGUAGGCUCUAYCUCCCGCCUGCUCUGCCUACGGGCUGACUACAAUGCUGUAAGGCAAAUUGAAUCAUUCCAGGGUGAAGGGAUUAAUGCUCAAAUAUCAAGAUGAACACCGAUGGCAAAGGCCGAUCUCUGGGCCGUAACUGACGCUGACGAACGAAAGGGUGGGGAUCAACAGGCUUAGAUACCCUGGUAAUCCCCUCCGUAGACGUUGCGAACUAGUUGUGGGGUCCAUUCCACGGAUUCCGUGACGCAGGUAACGCAUUAAGUUCCCCGCCUGGGGAAUACGGCCGCAAGGGUAAAAAUCAAAGGAAAUGACGGGGAGCCGGACCAGCGGCGGAGCCUGCGGAUUAAUUUGGUGCAAAGGGAAGAACCUUACCAAGGCUUGAAAUUUAAGAGAACGGGCCAGAAAUGGUCAACUGCUUGGACAAUCGUAAACACGUGGUGCACGGUGGUGGUCAGAUCGUGUCUUGAGAUGUUGGGUUAAGUCUCGCAACGAGCGCAACCCUCUUUUCAUGAGGCCAGCACGUAAUGGUGGGAACUCAUGGGAUAGAGCCGGGGUCAAAUAGGAGGAAGGUGGGGAGGAGGUCACAUCAUCAUGCCCCCUAUGUGUCGGGGUUCACGCAUGYUACAAAGGCCGGUACAAAGGGGUGCAACACCGCGAGGUGGAGAGAAUCCCAAAAAGCCGGUCUCAGUUUGGAGAGAGGUGUGCAAAUCGACCUCAUGAGGUGUGAGUCGCUAGUAAUCGCAGAUCAGCAACGGUGCGGUGAAUACGUUCCCGGGUCUUGUACACACCGCCCGUCAAGUCCGAAAGUCGGUAACACCCGGAGCCGGGGCUUAAACCCUGUAGGACCUCCAGGAGCCUGUACGCAUUACCAGGUGAUCGAUGGC